Molecule: ribosomal RNA, 926 nt
Filed under: uncultured bacterium
Lineage: Bacteria
Description: bacterial SSU rRNA
Rfam family: Bacterial small subunit ribosomal RNA
Source: RNAcentral
GCAAGUCGAGCGGGAAUAGGUAGCUUGCUACUGAAUUCUAGCGGCGGACGGGUGAGUAAAGCUUAGGAAUCUGCCAUUUAGUGGGGGACAACAUUCCGAAAGGGAUGCUAAUACCGCAUACGUCCUACGGGAGAAAGCAGGGGAUCACUUUUGACCUUGCGCUAAAUGAUGAGCCUAAGUCGGAUUAGCUAGUUGGUGGGGUAAAGGCCUACCAAGGCGACGAUCUGUAGCGGGUCUGAGAGGAUGAUCCGCCACACUGGGACUGAGACACGGCCCAGACUCCUACGGGAGGCAGCAGUGGGGAAUAUUGGACAAUGGGGGGAACCCUGAUCCAGCCAUGCCGCGUGUGUGAAGAAGGCCUUUUGGUUGUAAAGCACUUUAAGCGAGGAGGAGGCGCUCUAGGCUAAUACCCUAGAAGCGUGGACGUUACUCGCAGAAUAAGCACCGGCUAACUCUGUGCCAGCAGCCGCGGUAAUACAGAGGGUGCGAGCGUUAAUCGGAUUUACUGGGCGUAAAGCGUGCGUAGGCGGCUUCGUAAGUUGGAUGUGAAAUCCCCGAGCUUAACUUGGGAAUUGCAUUCAAAACUGCGAGGCUAGAGUAUGGGAGAGGAUGGUAGAAUUCCAGGUGUAGCGGUGAAAUGCGUAGAGAUCUGGAGGAAUACCGAUGGCGAAGGCAGCCAUCUGGCCUAACACUGACGCUGAGGUACGAAAGCAUGGGGAGCAAACAGGAUUAGAUACCCUGGUAGUCCAUGCCGUAAACGAUGUCUACUAGCCGUUGGGGCCUUUGAGGCUUUAGUGGCGCAGCUAACGCGAUAAGUAGACCGCCUGGGGAGUACGAUCGCAAGACUAAAACUCAAAUGAAUUGACGGGGGCCCGCACAAGCGGUGGAGCAUGUGGUUUAAUUCGAUGCACGCGAAGAACCUUACC